CUUCAACAGCAUUUUCAUUUGUAGUUUCUUUUUCUAUAGUUAUUGUACUCUUAAGUUCUGGGGUACAUGUGUAGAUUGUGCAGGUUUGUUACAUAGGUUUAACGUGCCAUGGUGGUUUUCAAUCAUUUGUAAUUUCAAAAUCUGAAAUAGCUUUUGGAUUUUGAAGAUCUCCUAAUGUCUACAUGCAACAUAUUCAGUUCCUUUUCUUUCAUCUCUCAAUGGUUGCUCUCAACCAUUGAGAAGGGAGAGAAUAUUUUCCUUUCCUUGUAGGGUUUUUCCUUCCUCAUGUGGUUGAGAUUAUGUAAUGGACACAGAGGAAACAGACAUACCCCACCCUCCAUGAGCCCACAGCCUCUUCAGGAAGGCCCCCCAGACAGGAAGCUCCUUCAGCGUGAGAAGCACCAGGUGAAGUGGGGGCCAGAGAAGAGUGGCCUGGGCCUCAGAGUCUUGCUCGGUAGCCAGGCUGGAGCACAGUAUUGCAGUCUUGGCUCACUGCAACCUCGGCCUCCUGGGUUCAAGCAAUUCUUCCACCUCAGCCUCCCAAGUAGCUGGGACUACAGGAAAAUGCAGCUAGACAAUCACAGUGAACUAUGGGGCGAAAAGAACACACAUGUAUCUGAGUCUGGUGCAUUUAUUCAGUUAUUUGCAAGAGUGAGAACCAGGAUGAGGAUGGAUGUUGAGGCAGCUUGUUUUCACGGGAGCGAGUACAUCUUGGAAGUAUGCUUGCAGAAUGCAAUUCAGGCUGAUGUUAGUGUGUCUCAUUCUGGGGAGAAUUGCAGCCCCCAGAUGGAAGCUGCUCUGACCAAGAAUACUGUGGACAUUGCAGAAGGCCUGGAACAAGUCCAGAUGGGAAGCUUACCUGGAACCAUUUUAGAAAAUUCUCCAUCUCCUAGUGAAAGAAACAGACAAGGAAAUUCAGACCUAGUGACCAAUGGAUUAAUCAAUAAACCCCAACCCCCAGAGAUUCGAGAGCGACAGAAGUCAUCAGACAUCUUGGAGGAACUAAUUGUUGAAGGAAUAAUACAAAGCCACAGCAAAGUAUUUAGAAAUGGAGAAUCAUAUGAUGUCAUGGUGAAUAUGACUGAGAAGCCAUUGAGAAAGCCACCUGCCAGACUAAAAAAACUCGAGAUCAAAAAGCUAGAGAAGGAUUUCACAGUGAAGGAUAUCGAGGAGAAGAUGGAGGCUGCCAAAGAGUGCAGGAAGAAAGAUGCCACAGCCUCCUGCCCUUAGACACACCAACCAUCAGGUAUCAUCCAUUUGUCCCUCAAACUCCAGAAGACACAUCAAGCUCUCCAAGUACACUCUUUGAAGCUUUUCUCAGUUUCAAACCCGGUGGAAUCAAAAAAACCAAACAGAACAACUCUGCAUCUGUUAAUAGGUCAAAGUCCAUCAAUUUCCCCAGUCUCCCCAAAAGUUUGUUAAUUCAAAAUAUUAAAGAAAAAUGUUCUAUUGGUGUUCUCUCUAAUUUGAUUAUUUAGGAUACACAGCUUCCUAGCCUAUCUUAUUAUUGCUGCUUUGUGUUGUCUAAUUACGAGAAACCAUACCUGUACUCCAGCUGGAGUAACAGGGCAAGACUCCGUUUCAAAAAGAAAAAGGAAAGUUAAUGGUUGUAUGUAAAGUGAACUCUACCAGUCUACGUGAUCCACUUGUAAGGGAAAAUUGGCUCUCAUCCUUGAGGAUGGAUCAUUCCAGUGAACCCCAGAUAUGCCUGAGUGAUGGGAGAGGUGCUCAAGAAUGCCUGUUCAAAAGCAAACACCAAGGUUGAACUUAGUUAGAAAAUACCAAGGUUGAAAUCAGCCAUAAGAGACUUCUGGAGGCUCAAACUGGAAGGAACCUUAGAGAUGGUCUAGUCCAAUCUCCUGCUAGAGGCAAGGAAACUGAGGUCUUUGCCAUUCAGACUGCUCUGGCACCAGCAUGAACUAGUGGCAAAGACAAGAGUAAAACCCAGUCCUCCUGGCCCCCAGGCCAACACUUUACAACCUGAUGUUCUUAAACAGAAGCCCCCAACCCUAGGGGAUAUACAUUUAUGUGCCAGAAAAUACUCCAAGGCGAAGCAGAAAUACGCCACUUCUUCCUAAAUCUUGGAUACUACUUCAAGGUGAGGACGUUAAACAAAUGCUUGUUAAAAAAUAAACAUGUUAGACCAGGCUCAGAGACUCAUGCCUUUAAUCCCAGCACUUUGGGAAGCAGAGCUGGGAGGAUUACUUGGGACCAGGAGCGUGAGACCAGUCUGGGCAACAAAGCAAGAUCCCUUCUCUUCAAAAAAUAAAAAUAAAAAAUAAACCCAGCUGGGCCUUUAGUUCUAGCUACUUGGGAGCCUGUGGUGAGAGAAUUGCUUGAGACUAGGAGUUCGAGGCUGCAGUGACCUAUAAUCGUGCCACUACAUUCUAGCCUGGGUGACAGAGUGAGACUAUUUCAAAAAAAAGAAAGAAAAGAAAAGGAAAGAAAGAAGAAAAAAGAGGAGGAGAAAGAAAUAAAAAUGCAUUUAUUAUUGCAGGACAAAACCAAAUUCACAUGACUUUUUAAAGCGAAUACAAAUCUCACAGGAAGUUGAUGCUUGCGGCAGUGAGGUUACGUGGCCCACGGGUAUGUGCUGCUGCACGUUCACUGCUAAGGGCACGUCCUGGACCAGCUUGACAAGCACACUUUUACCCCACGCUGCCUCCAAUGGCCAAGAAAUCCCUUCGAGGAUCACUAUGGCUAAUUUCUUUUUGUCCUGACCCGUUUCUCUUGCGUAUCCCUACUUAGGUAAAUACAAGUGAUUCAAACCAAUAUGUACUGGAAUGUACCUUGUUUCCUGCUUCUUGCAUAGAGGGGGAAAUGGCCUCAAUGUCUUAACAUGUGAAACUUGAAUCAUAUUUAUGCCUUCUCUGCCCUAUUCCUUUCGGACGAUAGGCUCAAUAUAGCAGUACUGAUUUUUUCAAUUUAAUAAUGCUGAAAAGGAAUAAUUUAGGUCUUUUCACUUAAUUCUACAGUGCUUUUUUUUUCUCUGUUGCCCAGGCUAUAGUGCAGAGGCGCCAUCUCAGCCCACUGCAACUUCUACCUCCUGGGUUCAAGUGAUUCUCCUGCCUCAGUCUCCCGAGUAUCUGGGACUACAGGCAUCCGCCACCACACCAGGCUAAUUUUUUGUACUUUUAUUAAAGAUGGGGUUUCACUGUGUUAGGCAGCAUUGUCUUGAUCUCCUGACCUCAUGAUCCACCGGCCUUGCCCUCCCAAAGUGCUGGGAUUACAGGAGCGAGCCACUUUACCCGGGCUUUUUUUUUUUUUUUUGAGACCAAGUUUUGUUCUUGUUGUCCAGGCUGGAGUGCAAUGGCACUAUCUUGGCUCACAGCAACCUCUGCCUCCCGGAUUCAAGCGAUUCUCCUGCUUCAGCCUCCGAGUAGCUGGAACUACAGGCAGGUGCCACCACGCCCAGCUACAUUUUCGUAUAUUUAGUAGAGACUGUUUCACUAUGUUGACCAGGCUGGUCUCAAACUCCUGACCUCCAGUGAUCCACUUGCCUUGGCCUCCCAAAGUGCUGGGAUUACAGGCAUGAGCUACUGCUCCCUGCCUAUAGUGCUUUUAAAAAGUAUUUUUUUCUUCUUAACUUUCCUUUUCCUUUUUGAGACAGAGUCACCCUGUCACCCAGGCUGGAGUACAGUGGCACAAUCUUGGCUCACUGCAACCUCCACCCCCCGGGUUCAAGUGAUUCUCCUGCCUUAGCCUCCUGAGUAGAUGGGACUACAGGCAUGUGCCACCAUGGUGACUAAAUUUUAUAUUUUUACAGGAGACAGCGUUUCACCAUGUUGGCCAGGCUGGUCUCAAACUGCUGAACUCAGGUGAUCCACCCACCUCGGGUUACCCGGGCUGGAGUGCAGCUCACUGUAGCCUCAAACACUCCUUCUGCCUCAGCCUCCUGAGUAGUUGGACCUACAGGCGUGCACCACAACACCUGUCUACACAGUGCUUUUCGUUAAUUUGCAUAAGAAAGAUGUUACCCAAUUACAUAUUUACAAUCUCAACUUACUAUCACUCCCAUGUUUUAAAGAGGAAGCACAGCCCCCAACAGCCCUUCAUUUACUCCCUGUGCUGCAAAAGGAGGUACUCUUAGAAGUUAGUAAAAGGACCUGUAGUAUGAGGCUUCUGAAAGAGUGCUGAGUGUUUGAACAAUUUUUAUGCUUUUUCCCAACUGUCUUUAGAUUUCAUCAGAAAAGCUAGAAUUAUUUAGCUAAUUCUGAUUUCAUUUCUGUCCAGAGAAACAGGCUACAAAACUUUAUCUUUAGAGUUCCUUUUCACUAGUUACUUUGUGAUGUGCCGCACUGAUGACUCCAAUUCUUCACCUUUCUUCUUACUAUGCAUUUAUCUGCAUGAUCUCACAGCUCUUCUUGUCAAAUGGCAGAACGUACUUCCUUAUCCUUUGAUUAGGAAUUUAGUCAUGUAACUUGUUUUGGCCAAUGAGAUCUUAACAGAUGUGGCAUGAGCAGAGGCUUAAGAGGUGCUUGCAUCUAUCUGCUUGCUCUCUUUUGACUCUGCCAUUACCAAGAGAAGAACACGUUCAAGCUAGCCUGCUAGACCUAGGAGCAGGAGGAGCGACAGAUGGAGCAAAGCCACCCCCAGUCAGCCCAAGAUAAGUGGGUGCAUCCUGCCAAAAGCAGAAGUUGGAUAUUUUAUGUAAGAACUUUGACGGUUUCAUUCUACUUCUCCUGGCUUCCACUGUUCUAUUAAAAAAAAUCAACCGUUACUCUUACUGUUUCUCUCUGGCUCCUUGAAAGAUUAUUUUCUUUGAUUUUUUUUCAGCAGUUUCACUGGGAUAUGUUUAGCUAUGGCUUUAGAUUUAUAUUUCCUGAGGUUUUGAAUGAUUCUUACAUCUAUGGCUUGAUAUCUCUCUGGGAUUUAAAAAAAUUUUUUUUUUAAUUCUAGAGCAACUGUUGUUGCUCUGGAAUUCAGAAUAGAUAUGAUCUUCCACUUGCAAAUUCUCUUUUCAUCUGAGUCAAAUCUGCUAAUAAAUGCAUCCACUGAGUUCUUAAUUUCAGUUCUUGCAUUUUUUUACUUCUAAAAUACAAUUUGAUUCUUUUCAUGUUUCACGUUUCGAAUCUGUCAAAAUUCUUAUCUGCUUUUUAAAAAUUUACUGAACUUCUAAAAUCUUAUUUCAUGCUCCAUUAUCUGUAGAUUUAUUUCUCUUUUUAACUAUUUCUCUUGGGUUUUUGUGGGUUUUUGGCCAUGUUAUGUUGUCGCCUCCAGUGACUGGUUAAUUUUUGUCAUACAUGGCACAUAAGAUGUGAAAGAUGGUAAAGAUUAUUUUAGGUUUGGGAUGAUGUUAUCUUCCGCCAGAGGGUUUUAUAUUUGCUUGUAAUAGGCUAUCCCAAAUCACUUUGAUCCGAAGAUUGAGACUAUUCCAAACUGAUGUACAUUUGGUUUACCCUUUCUUCUAAGAUGUCGUUCCUUAGGGUCUCAAUCCAAAGCUUAGGGAAGACUUUCCAGUGCAUUCUCCACCCUUGGCAGCGCAUGAUCUCUAUAUUUUGUCCUCUAAGGUUUAUGAGUUAGUGGAGAGCUUUUCUCAGAUUUUUAGCUGCCUCUUCUGAAGUCAACAGCUAUUUGCAAAAUAAAGCAGCCACAAACACUGAGCCCAGCUCUCUGAGUUUCCUCUUUCUUCUGUAUUUUAACCCUAUAAUCCUUCAGUGCCUCAGUAGCUAUCUUAUGUCAUCAAACAGCAUUUCCCCUCCAUGUUCUCUGUUUGUUCUCUGUGGGAAAAAAAACCCAAAGUUAUCACAGAAAGAAUGAAAUUUAUCAGAGAUGUUGAAAACCAAACACUUUUCAAGUAAUAAACGAAAAUGACUGCUAAUAACCUAGUUUUAUAUCUGGCACCAAAAAUUUUCAAAAGAAAAGUUAAAGUUAACAUACUUCUAGAUACACACAAAUGGAGAUAAUUUGUCACCAGUAAACCCAUAAUAAAAGAAAUGCAAAAGGAAUUUCUUCAAGUGCAAGGAAAAUGAUCACAUCUAUGUGAUCCCCAUAAAUCCAGAAGAAAUGAAAAGCAACAGGAAUGGGAAAAUGUGGGUAAAUCUAUAUAAAAAUUGACUGUACAAAACUAUUAACAUUUUAUAAGGCUCAUAUAUAUAUGUAUAGAACUAAAAUGCCUGACAGUAAUAAUACAGAAGGCAUGCGGGAACAGAUAGAGUUAAAGUGUUCUGAAGUUCUGUUUUGUUUUGUCUUGUUUCUGAGAUGGGGUUUCACUCUUGUUGCCCAGGCUGCAGUGCAAUAGCGUGAUCUUGACUCACUGCGACCUCUGCCUCCCAGGCUCAAGUGAUUCUCCUGCCUCAGCCUCCUGAGUAGCUGAGAUUACAGGCACAUGCCACUAUACCCAGCUAAUUUUUGUAUUUUUAGUAGAGAGGGGGUUUUGCCAUGCUGGCCAGGCUGGUCUUGAAAUCCUGACCUCAGGUGAUCCACCUGCCUUGGCCUCCCAAAGUGCUGGGAUUACAGGCAAGAGCCACCAUGCCCAGUCCUGAAGUUUUAUCGUUUUCUAUAAAGAGGUAAAAAUAUGAUUCUAUAUUACACUUAGAUGAGUCAAGGGUAUACUCUGUAAUCUCAAGGAUAACUCCUAGUAAAAGAAUAUAGAACUAACAUACCUAUGGGUAGUGGUGGUAGUAAUUAAAUGGUAAAUAUAAUCCAAAUGUAUCCAUGUCUAGAAUCACCUUAAAUGUAAACAGACUAAAUACUCAAAAUAUUGUCAAACUGGAUUAAAAUAAAUGCAAUCCAACUAUAUGCUACUUUUAAGAAACACACUUUAGGGCCGGGCACAGUGGCUUACACCUGUAAUCCCAACACUUUGGGAGGCCAAGGUAAGUAGAUCAUCUGUGGUCAGAAGUUCAAGAACAGCUUGACCAACAUGGAGAAAUCCCAUCUCUACUAAAAACACAAAAUUAGCCAGGUGUGGUGGUGCAUGCCUGUAAUCCGAGCUACUCUAGAGGCUGAAGCAGGAGAACUGCUUGAACCUGGGAGGCAGUGGUUGCAGUAAGUUGAGAUCAUGCCACUGCACUUGAGCGUAGGCAACAAGAGUGAAAUUCACUCUGUCUCAAAAAAAAAAAAAAAAAAAAAGACACACUUUAAAUAUAAGAACAAAGAAAAGUUGAAUAGAAAAGAUGGAAAAAGAAAUACCAUAAAAACACAAAGCAAAAUAAAGCUAGUGUUCUAGCAUACCAAUACCUUGCAAAGUAGACUUUAAGCUACGAAAUAUAAAUACAGAUAAAAAGGAACAAAAUGAUGUAUAAUAAUUACAAAUUUCUAUAUGUAUUCUCAUGAAUUGAGACUACAUAAAGAUAAUUUUGACAGACAUAGAGGAAAAAAUACACAAAUCUACAAUCAUAGUGGGAGAACUUUAACUGUCUCUCUCAGUAACUGAAAGAUCAAGCAGGAAACAGUAAAGAUACAGAAGAUCUGAACAACAUGAUUGACCAACUUGGAUAAUUCGGGAUAUAUAGAACACUUACCUACAACAGCAGAAUAUAUAUUUAAAUGUAUGGAAAACAUCUAUCAAAAUUGACCAUGCAUCCAUAAAGCAGGUCACACCAAAAUUCAGAGAUUUCAGUUAAUCAGGAUAUGUUUUUUGACCACAGUGGAAUUUAGCUAGAAAUUAAUAUGAAGAAUAUAACUUUAAGACCCAAAUAUUUGGAAAGUAAACAAUAAAUUUCUAUUUCAAGAAUACAAAGUUUCAAAAAAAGUCCAGGAUCAGAUGGAUUCACAGCUGAAUUCCACUAGAUGUAAAAAGAACAGCUGGUACCAUUACUGCUGAAACUAUUCCAAAAUACUGAGGAAGAGGGACUUCUUCCUAACUCAUUCCAUGAGGCUAGUAUCACCCUGAUAACAAAACCAGACAGAGACACAACAAGAAAAAGAAAAUUUCAGGCCAAUAUCCUUGAUGAACAUCAAUUCAAAAAUCCUCAACAAAAUACUGGCAAACUGAAUCCAGCAGCACAUCAAAAGACUGAUCUACCAUGAUUAAGAAGGCUGUAUCCCUGGAAUGCAAGGUUGGUUCAACACAUGCAAAUCAAUAAAUGUGAUUCAUCACAUAAACAGAACUAAAGACAAAAACCACAUGGCCAAUAUCAUACUGAAUAGGCAAAAGCUGGAAGCAUUCCCCUUGAAAACUAGCACAAGACAAAGAUGCCCUAUCUCACCAGUCCUAUUCAACAUAGUACUGGAAAUCCUGGCCAGAGCAAUUAGGCAAGAUAAAGACAUAGAGGGCAUCCAAAUAGUAAGACAGAAAGUCAAACUAUCCCUGUUUGCAGACAACAUGAUCCUAUGUAUAGCAAACUCCAUAGUCUCAGCCCAAGAGCUCUUUAAGCUGAUAACUUCAGCAAAGUCUCAGGAUACAAAAUCAAUGUACAAAAAUCACUAGCAUUCCUGUACACCAACAACAGUCAAGCUGAGGAUCAAAUCAGGAAUACAAUCCUGUUCACAAUUGCUCUCUCCCCACCCCCGCCCCACACACAUGAACUAAGAAUACAGCUAACCAGAGAGGUGAAAGAUCUCUACAAGAAGAACUAUAAAACACUGCUCAAAGAAAUCAGAGAUGACACAAACAAAUAAAAAAACAUUCCAUGCUCAUGGAUAGGAAGAUUCAAUAUUGUUAAAAUAGCCGUACUGCCCAGAAGAUUCAAUGCUAUUCCUGAUAAACUACCAAUGACAUUCUUCACUGAACUAGAAAAAAACAAUUUUAAAAUUCAUAUGGAACCAAAAAAAGAGACAGUAUGGCAAUUCCUCAAAGACCUAAAGACAGAAAAACCAUUCAACCCAGCUAUCCUAUUACUGGGUACAUCCCAAAAGGAAUAUAAAUCAUUCUACCAUAAAGAAACAUGCAUGUGUUAUGUUCAUUGUAGCAUUAUUCACAAUAGCAAAGAUGUGGAACCAACCUAAAUGCCCAUCAAUGGGAGACUGGAUAAAAAAAGUGUGGUACAUAUACACCAUAGAAUACUAUGCAGUCAUAAGAAAGAACAAGAUCAUAUCCUUUGCAGGAACAUGGAUGGAGCUGGAGGCAAUUAUCCUUAGCAAAUUAACACAGGAACAGAAAACCAAAUACUGUUCUCACUUGUAAGUAGGAACUAAAUGAUAAGAACAUAAGGACAAAUAGAGGAGAACAACACAGACUGGGGCCUACUUGAGGAAGAAGAGUGAGAGGAAGGAGAGGAAAAAUAACUAAUGGGUACUAGGCUUAUCUUAUCAUUAAAUAUGACAGCUGAUGUUUGUUUUAUUUUUGUAGUCACUAUUAUAUAGAGAAGCUUUGUUUGUAUCUUAAAUAAUCAUAAAUAGGAAUUAAAUUUUACUAUAUUUUUUCAGAGGUCUUCCUUCUGUAUCUAUCAACAAUACCUGGGUAAUAAAAUAAUCUGUACAAUAAACCCCCAUGACCGAAGUUUACCUAUGUAACAAACCUGUACAUGUACCCAGUGAACUUAAAAUAAAAGUUAAAUUAAAAAAAAGAAAAGAAUACAAAGUUGGUUUAAAAUUUGAAAAUUCACCAAUAUAAUUCACUGCAUUAAUAGAAAUAAAGGAGAAAAAUUAUAGUUCGUUGAUAGAUACAGAAAGAAGACCUCUGAAAAUUUUUAGUAAAAUUUAAUAUCUAUUUAUGAUUCUUUAAAAUACAAACAUCAAAACAUCUCUAUAUAAUAGUGACUAUGAAAAACAAACAAAACAACAACUAUCAUAUUUAAUGAUAAGACAAUGAACAUUUUCCCUGUGAGAUCAGGGUAGAGACAGGGAUUCCUGCAAUCAACACCUACUUAACAUCGUAUUUCAUUUCCUAGCCACUGCAGUAAGGCAAGGGGGGAAGGUACAAAUUACCACAAUAAUAAUCGAUUCAAGCAAGAAUUACUAACAGUGUCAAAGUAUUGUUUCACAAGUUUAUUAAUUACAAAGGCAAAAGAAAAGUUUAUAAGGGAGAAAUCUGGCAAGCACCAUCCUAACCAAGUGAUAAAAAUUAACAUCACCAAUAAUAGGUCACAUCAUGUGCCUCCUGUUGUGAUGACUGAGAAAUACAUGUUGUCACAUAAAAAAUUUUUCUUCCAAGAAUGUUUAUCUUGAAUAUAAGUAUCAAGUGUCCAUCAGACAAAUCCAUAUUAUUUGAUAUUCUGCGUAACCAGUGGUCUUUAAAAUUGUCAACAUUAUGACAAUUUCAUAAUUUGGAGCACUGUUCUAAAGAAUUUAGGGGUGGAAUGUCAUGUUAUAUGCAACUUUUGUGACUUAAAUAAUUCAGCAAAAUAUAUGUACUCAUCUAUCUAUCUAUCUAUCUGUCUAUCUAUCUAUCUGUCUGUCUAUCUAUCUAUCUGUCUGUCUCUCUGUCUGUCUGAAAGAUAUAAAGAGGGUUCACACACAAAAAACAAAUUAGCAAAAUGUUAAUAAUUGAAACAGGGAUCAGCAAACUAUAGCCCACAGGCCAAACUGGGCUGAAACCUACUUGAAAACUCAUAAAGUUUUGUUAUAACACAGCCAUGCUCAUUCAUCUAAACAUUAUCUGUGGCUGUUUUUUACUACAACAGCAGAGUUGAGAAGUUUUUAUUAUGUUAUUAAAAAGACUGACUUCCAUCUUAGUUUCUCUCUCUUUAUCUUUCUCACUCUCUAACUCUCUAGUUUGCUAGAACUCUCAUGCACAGCCAGUGGGGGUAUAAAUUAAUAUGGUCACUCUAGAAAGUUACCUGGAUGUAUCUACUAAAGCUGCAUGCGCGUGCACACACACACACACACACACACACACCCUCCUAUGACUCCUAUGUAAAUGCAUUCAUACCCAUUAGAAAUGUGUUCACAACAAAAUCAUGUACAAUAUGUAUCAUUUGCAAACACAUAUCAAGAUUUGCAAAAAGUCAAUGUCCUAGACUACCAAAAAAGGUCUCAACAGUUACCAAGAUAUUGAUAUAAACCCGUCUCUGAUCGCAAAGCAUUAAAAAUACAAUUCAAGAACAAAAGCGAACCUUCCCCCACCCUGGGUUAUUGUAUGUUUGUAACAAAAGAAAAAAGAAAACAAAUAUUUAAAUAAUGGGGGUAAUGGGACAAGAAAAAUCAAAUAUAAAUUAGAAAAAUGUUCCAAACUGAAAGAUAGUAAGAGGGUUACAUAUGCUAAUUUCUAGAUACAACUAUGAUGGAACUUAAGUGAAGUGCAAUCAUCUCAGAUGCACUUGUUAGAAAAGAAAAGAUUGGAAUUCAAUGAUGUAAAUGUUCAACAUACAAAGGUAGAAAAAAUUAGAAGAGUAAACAACAUGAAUAGAAGAAAGUAUCGUUUGAGAUCAGAAUUUAAUAAAACAGGACAUAGAAGCAAAGUUAAUUUAAUUAGUAUCUAUACUCCUUCUGAAAUGCACAAAGAUUUUCAAAUGCAUUGCCUUUCCUAUUUUCCACAUUAUUAUCUAGUACGUUUUUUUCAUCUUGCUUAUAAGCAAUCCCCAACAAAUCACUCCUUACUUAGACAAUAUUGUUGAUUUCCUGGACUAUUAUUGCUUCUUGCAUCCCAUUUCCGUUUGCAAUCAAUUGUUCUCUUACUUAAAUAUAUUCUUUAGUAGUUAAGUUCUGUGAGUAAACUCAUAGUCUUUUGUGUGUGUAUAUCUGAACAUGGCUUCAUUUCAGCUUUGGUCUUGAAUGAUGGUUUAGUUUAGUAAUGAAAUUCGAUUAUUUCCUCUGGUGUUCUAAAUUCUUUUUUGCAGAUAAAAAGUGAUACUAAUCUAAUCUUCAUAGAGAAUCUCUUCAUAAAAAGCACAGUUGACCCUUUAACAACAUGGGUUUGAACUGCAUGGGUCCACUUAUAUAAAGAUUCGUUUCAAUAAAUAUAUUGGAAAAUGUUUUCGAGAUUUGAAAUAACAUGAAAAAGUUGUAGAUGAACCAUAGAAAUAUUAAAUAUUUGUAGAUGUAGCCUAGAAAUAUAAAAAAAUUAAGAAAAACUUAGGCAUAUCAUGAAUGCAUGAUGUGUGUAGAUAGUAAUGAAAGGCAUACCUGUAGCCUCUAAUACGAUUUGAGAAAAAGCGAAGUCAUACAACACCUUAAAGCAAAAGGAAGAAGAAAAAUCUAAAGCUGGAAAAUUUAAUGCCAGCAAAGGAUGGCUCGAUAAUUUUAGAAUGAUGUUUGGCUUUAAAAUGUCAAGAUAACAGAGAAAGAGCUUCUGCCAACCAAGAAACAGCAGAUGAGUUCCCAGACACCAUUAAGAAAAUCAUUGUUAAGAGAGGGUAUGUACCUGAACAGAUGUUCAAUGCAGACAAAAGUGUCCUGUUCUGGAAAAAAAUGCCACAGAAGACAUUUAUUAGUAAGAAAAAGAUGUGAGCACCAGAAUCUAAAGCAGGAAGGGAUAGGCUAUGUCUACUGUUUUGUCCCAAUGUAGUAGGGUUUUUCAUCAGGAUUGCCCUUCCAUAAGGCUGCUGAGCCUUGAAGGGAAAAAGAUAAACAUCAGCUGCCAGACUUCUGGCUGUUCAAUAAGAAGGCCGGUCAGUUUGUGGACAGACAUCCACUAAAUAGCUUGCUGGAAUUUUUGCUGAGAUUGCAAUUGCUUUGAGUCUAUAGAUCAAGUUGGGAAGAACUGACAUCUUGAUAAUAUUUAAUCUUCCUAUCCAUGAACAUGGAAUAUCUCUUCAUUUAUUUAGUUCUUCCUUGACAUCUUUAAUCAGAAUGUUGUAGUUUUCCUCAUAUUCCUCACGUGUUUUGUUAGAUCUAUACCUAAGUAUUUCAUUUGGGGAGGAAUGAAUGUAAAUGGUAUUGUGUUUUUAAUUUCAAAUUCCAUUUGUUAAUUACUUGGAUAUAAAAAAGUGAUUGACUUUCGUGUAUUAACCUUGUAUCAUGCAAUCUUGCUACAAUCUAUUUUUAGUUCCAGGAGGGUUUUUUUGGUCAAUUCUUUCAUAUUUUUUAAAUAGACAAUCAUGUCAUCUGUGAAGAAAAUGUAAUUCUUCCUUCCCAAUCUGUACACCUUCUCUUUUCUUUUCUUAUUUUAUUGCAUUAGCUAGGACUUCAGUAAGAUGUUGAAAAGCUGUCUGGUUAUUUUUAAUCAAUAAACCAGAAAGUCUUAUUUUGGUAAACAAAUUGCUCUUCCUUGUGUCCUAGUAAUUAAAAAAUUAUCUAAAGUUAAAGGCCUUUAAUCAGGACCUGCUUUACACUAGAAGCUUACAAAGAGAAAGGGGAGGGGUGACUCAUUCUCUAUUUUCUCUCCUUAUGCUUCUCUAAUGCUUACCCCCUACUCCUUGACUAAGUUGAUUUCUAGAUCCUCAAAGUGGAGUGGGGUAUCCUGGUGCUAGUUUUCUGGGAAAGGAGAAAGGUCUGGCAGAAGAUGUUUUGCUUUACAUGAUCUGUUUUGCAUGAUUUCAUGUACUUUAGUGCUGAUUCUUCUAUUUGGGAGCAGUUUGAGUUUUUGAGUCGCCAAUGAAAUUCCACAUUGUAGUUUUAACAGAGGCAACACUAAUGCAACCUGCCCUCACUGGCUGUCCCUAGCAGUUUAUCAUGCAAUCUUUUAUUGCUUGGUUCCCCUCAUAUUGGCAGGCCUCCAUCUUGGGCAGGCUCCCUUCAAGUUGACCCCUGUUCAUGAGUUGGCAGUGCCUAUUUAGCCCUUAGGAAACAACAUAUAUUUUCCAAGCCAAAUGAAGAAGUAUUCCAAAUAUCACUCUUCCUUCUGGCCUUGCCUGGCACCUGCAAGUGGUUAUAGUCAAAGCCUUCUUGAGAUUGAGUAAAAAACCGGUCCCUGUGUUUCCCCAAAUUCAAGGGGACGAUCUGAGAUUCUCCAAAUGAUCUUCUCAAAACCCCUUUUAGUAGACUUAAGCGGACUCUUCCCCACUCCAACACACACACACACAAAUGUGAAAAGAUAAAAAAUACCCCAGCCUUUAACUAAUUUUUCCUGAGAAAUGCUCUCCUGGCUUCUUCAGCUCAAACCUUUAAACUAUUAAAGUAGGUUUGGCCUCAGUUGUCAGUGGUUUUUAGCACUUCCUUCCCACAUAUGCAUAGGUAGUUUUCUGGUGGCUUUCCUUGUAAUGAGAGAGUACUUGCCCCCUAAUAUUUUGUUAUUGGCCAGUAAGACAGACAUCAGAGAGCAGAAAUUGGCCAGGCCCAGUGGCUCAUGCCCGUAAUCCUAGCACUUUGGGAGGCUGAGGCAGGUGGAUCACGAGGUCAGGAGUUCAAGAGCAGCGUGGCCAAGCUGGUAAAACCCCGUCUCUACUAAAAAUACAAAAAUUAACGGAGAGUCGUGGCAAGCUAAUCCCAGCUACUCGGGAGGCUGAGGCAGGGAACUGUUUGAACCUGGGAGGUGGGAGGUGGAAGUUGCAGUGAGCCAAGAUAGUGCCACUGCACUCCAGCCUGGGCAACAAAGCAAGACUCCAUCUCAUACACACACACACACACACACACACACACACACACACACACACACAGCAAUUAAGACAAAGUUCCAUUAUAACAUUCAAUUACAUACAGUUUCUUUCUAUUUUUAAGAAAGUCUAUUUUUCUCUGGUGUGCUGUAGUAUUUUUCUCUGGAAACACACCACUCCAACGUGUUUAAGUGUGGAUUCAUUGUUAUCCUAUUCAUAACUUGGUGUGUAUCUGCAUGUCUUUCUUUGAUCUGGGAAAUAUUCACCCAUUAUCUCCUCAAAUACUGCCUCUCUUCAAAUAAUGUUCCUUGUAUGCAGAACUCCUAUUAGACAUAUGUUGGGCCUCGUGAUUCAGUCACCUAUGUUUCUUUUAAUAUUUGGGCAUAAUUUCCCCCAUAUCUUGUUCCCUCUAGAUGAGUGCCUCAGCACUAUCCGACGGCACACAAUUUUUCCCUUCAUCUGUAUCUCACCUCCUGUUUACUUAUCUAUUGCAUUUUUAAUUUUUUCAUUUCCAGAGGUUCUUUUUGAUUCUUUUAAAAAUCCACUUUUUAACUCACAGUAUCCCAUCUGUCAAUACAAUCUUUGCUUUAUCUUUUGUCUCUCUAACGAUUUUAAACAUACGUAUAGCAUUCUUUCCAAUUAUCUCUUAGGUCCAGUACAUGUGCUCAUAGGAAUACUACUUGUUUUGUCUGUUGACUCCUCCUCACAGUGUUUCAUUUCUCUGUGUUAUCUGUACCGUUUUCACUGGUAGCUCAUACUCAGUAUGUCUCCCUCCCCAAGGGAAAUCCAUUAUAUCCAAAUGGUGGAACUGUCCCUGUACAGCCUUUUUUUUUGGCAUUUUCUUCUGUUAAGGCCCCAGAGUUUUCAGUGACUACAGAAUAAUUUUCAUGUUUAUUUCUAUGCUUCAGGUUCCUUUGCACUGUGGGCAAUAAAAAUUUGGGCUUUAUACCUGCACGUGACACAGGUUUAAAAAUUUAUUUUUUUCCCUUAUUUAGAUUUUCUCACACAUGUACCUCAUUCUUGGGUACCAUUGCUCCAAGAAAACCACAAACUUCUUUUUUGCUUUCUGAGUUGUUGGGCAAAGUGCUUUUCUGGUCCUUUUUACAUGCAAGGCAAGCCUUCAAUAUUCCCAGCUUUAAGAAGGAGCCUCAUUCCAAGCUCCCCUUCUUGCACAGGUUCAAGUUCAUAUAUCCUGUUCCUCUGUGAACGUUACAGUCCUGCCCAUUUAGUAGUCUGCAUUGGGUCUUUAUUUGGGUUCUCUUUGGGGCUUUACUUUUUUAGUUCCUUCUUCUGACUCCACCUUUGAGUUUUUUCUCUGUUCCCAGCAUCUAGGCAUUUCCAUUUCUAUCAAGAUAGGUGACUUAUUAUCUUUAUCAUUGCUAGUUCAUGUUAUUGAGUAUCAUAGAGAAGUUGAAGUUUUGGAAUCAGACUGUCUAGAUUCAAGUCUCAGCUCUGGCACUUACUGGAUUUAUGACCAUGAGCAAGUUAUCAUCUUUAAAUAUAAGUUUUCUUAGUUGUAAAAUGGGAGUAAUAAUAAGACCCAGCUCAUAUGAUUGCUGUGAGGAUUAAGAGAUGUAAUAUACAUGGAGGGUAUGGAGCAGUGUAUGGCACAUAUUAGAAGUCCAAUAGUUAUUAGGUAUUAUUCUUGUUAUCUUUCUUAUGAUUGUCAUCACCAUUAUCAUCGUAUGCAUUGUCAUGUGUUUAUAAAAACAGCUCCCACCAUUUUUUUUACCAGAAAUGCUGCGAUAUACUUUUUAAUCCCCAAACACGAUUACUGCCAUUGGUGACACUAACCAAGACUCCUUCCUCCCUAGCUCAUGCAAACUUAAAAGGUACUAAUCAAUUUUAAAUUUAGUCUGUGUAAACUAUAAUUUAGAAGACUGAAGUGUUUCAAGGUCAGUUUACGUAUUUCUGAACUAAUUAUAAAUAAUGUGUAUUGCCUUCUUUUUUCUUUGAAUUAUUUGAAUCAUGGUGUCCCUACAUCAGGGCAAAUGAUUGAGAGAAGGCAAUUGCGUAUUAGUGACAGCGCCAAUGGCUCGACUAUCAAAGACGGGCUAUUUGAGUUGAAUACUCUGUUGUGAAUCCCCUGGAGAAACAGGUCCUCAGAAGUGAGCAAGAAUGAAUGAAGUGGAGCAUAAUGAGGGAGGCUUUGUAGUAUGGUCUAAUGAAUGACUCCUUGACAUUCUCUGAUCUCUGACAUGACAGGCAUAUGGUGUUUAUCAAUAAAUAAAAAGGAUAUAGUUACACUGAGGCUGAAGCAUUCAGGGAUUGGUAACAUUUGGUAAGCUGGCAAGCUCUCUGCCCCGCUCUUUACCCUCACAGGUAGAAUAAAACAAAAUGUCUCCAUAAGAAUCUAUUUAUAGUAUAUGAUAGUCUUUGGUUGUCUUUAGUUUCCCCAAAGAAGCAGUAGCUCAUGCUCUAAUUUGCAUCCAUGGACGCAUGUUAGUGUAUUAUCUAAAUGACACUUUGAGGUAAUCACAAACAGUCCUUAGAACUUUCAAUGCACAGAUUCUUUUUAAAAAAUUUUCAACUCUUAUUUUAGAUUCAGGGGAUACACGUGCAAGUCUGUCACAUGGUAACAUGAUAUAACUCUGAGAUUUGGGGUGUAGAUGAUCCCGUCACCCAAGCAGUGAGCAUAGUGCGCAAUAAGCAAUCCCUCAGCCUGCACCCCACUCUUUCCUGCCUGCCUCCAGCAGUCACCAGUGUCUACUGUUUCCAUCUCUAUGUCCAUGUAUACUUAAUGUUUGGCUCCCACUUAUAAGUGAGAACAUGUGGUAUUUGGUUUUCUGUUGCUGCAUUCAUUCACUUAGGAUAAUGUCCUCCAGCUGCAUCCAUGUUGCUGCAAAUGACAUUUCAUUCAUUCAUUUUAUGGCUGUAUAGUAUUCCACAAUGUCUAUGUACCACAUUUCCUUUAUCCAGUCCACUGUUGAUGGGCACCUAGGCUGAUUCCAUGUAUUUGCUAUUGCAAUACACAGCUUCUUUAAAAUAUCCCCAGCCUGAAGGCUGACACAUUUCGUAAGACUAAUAAUUAUCUGGUGUCUGACAAAAAUAGUACAUUGUUUUUGGUUUUGUGUUCUCUACCAAAAUCUUAAUAACAGGCACAGCUUGGUGCUCUUCAACCUGUGGCAAAAGGCGAGAGAUACAUUGACCAGGAAACUCCAAUGGGAAGGGUAGAGAGAACAGGCUCUCUGUCUGCCUAUUUUCUACAUAGAGGCUGUAUUUAUAGAAAAGCAAACAUUCUGUCAGAAACAAACAGUUCAACGCAAACAAUCACACCAAAUGAACCUUCAACGUGUCUGUAAUCCACAAAUUUGCCACAGCUUCUCAGAAAGAAGCCGUUACAACGGUGCCGUGCAUAAAGCAUCUGCUUGAUAGAAUCCUUGAUAUAACUCUUCAAUCCUUUCUUUCUCUCACACUCCAUUUUCAACCUUUAGGAAAUGCUGUUGGUUCAAGUUUCAAGAUACUCCCAAAUCUCACCACUCUACAUGACUUCUGCUGCCACUACCACAGUCUGAGCACCAUCACCUCUCCCUCUGAGAGCUGUGAAAACUUUCUAAUGGUCUCUCUGCUUCUAUACUUUUUUUUUUUUUUUGAGAAGGAGUAGUCUCGCUCUGUUGCCAGGCAGUGCAGUGACAUGAUCUCAGCUCACUACAACCUCUGCCUCCUGGGUUCAAGUGAUUCUCCUGCCUCAGCCUCCUGAGUAACUGGGAUGACAGUUGUGCUACUAUGCCCAGCCAAUUUUUGUAUUUUUAGUAGAGAUGGGGUGAAACCCCAUGUUGUCCAGGAUGGUCUCCAUCUCUUGACCUUGGGAUAUGCCUGCCUUGGCCUCCAAAGUGCUGGAAUUACAGGCAUGAGCCACGGCACCCAGCCACUACUAUACUUUUAUGUAUUCCAUACAGCAGGUAGAGAGAUUCCUUUAAAAAAAGAUAGGUCAGGUCAGGUCAUACCUGUGUUUAAAAUCCUACAUUGGCUCCAAAGUCCUUACAAUGGCUCCUAGGCCCUUGGAUCUGGCUUCCCAUGUUUGUUCCUUCCACUCUCCCCUUCUUGCUCUCUCUCACUUUUCUCAAGCCAACGGAUAUGACCCCCUUGCUGUUCUUCAAAUAUUCUAGACACUGUCCCUUAUCCUGGAAUAAUCUUCCACUGAAUUCUGGAGGGUGCAUCAAAAGUGUGUGUGUGUGUGUGUGUGUGUGUGUGUGUGUGUGUGUUUCCAAUCUCACCUUCCAGUGAGGUUUAUGUCUCCAAUUACCCUAUUUAAAAUGAGAGCAUGCCCUCCACAAACGCACACACCCAGGUCAAAGGAUCCUACUACUUUUUUCUUUUACCCUAAAACAUGUAUCAUCUAACAUACUAAAUAGUUUAUUAUUACUAUGUUUAUUGUCUUGUCCAACUCUCUCCUCUAAAACAUAAGCUCUAUAAGAGCAGGAAACUUCUAUUCAGUGAGGUACCCUUAAGUACCUAGGUUAGGUUCACUGACAAAAUAAAGUGCACCCAGGGCAGGGCGAGGUGGCUCACACCUGUAAUCCCAGCACUUUGGGAGGCUGAAGCAGGCGGAUCACGAGGUCAGGAGAUCAAGACCAUCCUGGCUAACAUGAUAAAACCCUGUCUCUACCAAAAAUACAGAAAAUUAGCUGGGCGUGGUGGCGGGUGCCUGUAGUCCCAGCUACUCAGGAGACUGAGGCAGGAGAAUCACUUGAGCCCGGGAGGUAGAGGUUGCAGUGAGCCGAGAUCACACUACUGCACUCCAGCCUGGGCAACAGAGCAAGAUUCCAUCUCAAAAAAUAAAAAAUAAAUAUAAAUAAAGUGCACCCAGCAAAAUCUGAAUUUCAGGUAAACAAUGAAUACUUCAUUUUAAAAUAAGUAUGGCCUAUACCAUCAUUGGUUUAUUUAUUGUUAUCUGAAAUCAAAUUUAUCUGGGAAUGCUAUAUUUUUAUUUGCUAAAACUGACAACUCCAAUCUAUAAUAAUGCCUGGCAUCAUCAUCACAAGAAACAUUACAUGUGGUCUACUUUUUAAAUUAAAAUAAAUUUGUUUUGUUAAAAAAAAAAAAAGAAAGAAAAAGAAAGAAAGAAACUUUAGGAAUAUAUUUAACCAAUGAGGUGAAAGAUCUCUACAAGGAAAACUACAAAACACUGAUGAAAGAAAUUGUAGAUGACACAAACAAAUGGAAAAACAUUCUAUGCUCAUGGAUUGGAAGAAAUAAUAUCAUUAAAAUGACCAUACUGUCCAAAGCAUUUAGAGUCAAUGCAAUUCCUAUCAAAAUUCCACAUCAUUUUUCACAUAAUUAGGGGAAAAAAAUCCUAAAAUUCAUAUAGAACCAAAAAAGGGUGAAAAUAGUUAAAGCAAGCCUAAGCAAAAAGAACAAGGCUGAAGGGAUCACAUUACUUGACUUCAAAUUAUACUAUAAGACUACAGUAAGCAAAACAGCAUGAUACGGAUAUAAUAAUAGACACAUAGAUCGAUGGAACAGAAUAGAGAACCCAGAAAUAAAGCCAUAUAUUUGCAGUCAACUGAUCUUUGAUGAAGUCAACAAGAACAUACACUGGGGAAAGGACACCCUAUUCAAUAAAUAGUCCCUGGAAAAUUGAAUUGCCAUGUGUAAAGGAAUGACACUGGACCCCUAUCUCUCACUGCAUACAAAAAUAAACUUGAGAUAGAUUAAAGACUUAAAUGUAAGACCUGAAACUAUAAAAAUACUAGAAGAAAAUUUAGGGAAAAUUCUUCUGUACCUUGGUCUUGGCAAAUAAUGCAUGACUCAAACCUGAAAAGCACAAGCCACAAAAACAAAAAUUGGACAAAUAGGGCUUAAUUAAACUAAAAUAUUCUGCACAGCAAAAGAAAUAAUUAAUAGAGAGAAAAGAUAACCUGAAUGAGAGAAAAUAUUUGCAAGCUAUGUAUCUGACAAGGGACUAACAUCCAGAAUUUUCAAAGGAUUCAAACAACCUAACAACAAAAAAUCCUCCACAAAUAAUCUCAUUAAAAAGUGGGCAACAGACAUAAACAGACAUUUCUCAAAAGAAGAGAAACAAAUGCCAAAGCUCAGCAUCACUAAUGGGUUUGGUGCAUUGGCUCAUGCUUGUAAUCCUAGCACUUUAGGAGGCCAAGGUAGGAGAAUACUUGAGGCCAAGAGUUCAAGAUCAGCCUGCAUAACAGCAAGACCCCAUAUCUAAAAAAACAAAAAAAAAAUUAAAAAUUAGCCAAGUGUGGUGGUGCACACCUGUAGUCCCAGCUCCUUGAGAGGCUGAGGUGGGAUGAUUGCUGGAGCCAUGAUUAAACCACUGCACUCCAGUCUGGGCAACAGAGUGAUACUCUGUCUCAAAAAAAAAAAAAAUCACUAAUUAUCAGAGAAAUCCAAAUCAAAACCACAAUGAGCUAUCAUCUUACUUAGUCAGAAUGACUAUUAUUAAAAAGAGAAAAAAUAACAGAUGUUGGCAAGGAUGCAGAGAAAAGGGAAUGCUGAUAUACUAUGGGUGGGAAUGUAAAUUAACCUCUAUGGAAAACAGCAUGAAGAUUUCUCAAAGAACUAAAAAUGGAACUACUAUUCAAAUCUGUAAUCCCACUACUGGGUAUCUACCCAAAGCAAAAUAAAUCAUUAUAUCAAAAAGACACUUGCACUUGUAUUCUUAUCACAGCACGCCUCACAAUGGCGAGGAUAUGGAAUCAACCUAACAAAUAAUUGUCCAUCAACGAUUAUGUACAAUGGAAUAUGUCUAUAUGUACAACGGAAUACUGUUCAGCCAUUAGAGAAGAAGGAAGCAUGUCUUUUGCAGCAACAUGGAUGGAAAUGGAGGCCAUUAACUGACGUGAAACAACUCAAGACACAGAAAGACAAAUAUCACAUGGUCUCAUUUAUAAGUGGGAACUAAAUAUUAUGCACACAUGGACAUAGAGUAUAGAAUGACAGUAGAGAAUUGGAAGCAGGGGGAGGAGGAUGAUGAGAAAUUACUGAGAACAACGUACGUUAUUUGGGUAAUGGAUACUCUAAAGGCCCUGACUUCACAACCAUGCAAUCCAUCCAGGUAACAAAAUUACACUUGUACCCCAUAAAUUUAAACUAAUAAAAAAAUUAAUUGGCUUUUGAAAUUUUAAUGGUAUUUUGGGCUAACUGAAGAUACCCUGACCUGUCUCAAGAAAAGUUUUAUAUCAUUGUAGUAAAUAACUUUAGGAAAAGUAAAUGGCCAAAAACAAAAACAAUGAAAUGAGAAAAGCUAAGAACACCAUCUAUGAUGCAACAGCACAAACAUAUGUUAACCGAUAUUAAGCAUUAUUCUUUAUGAUAUUGGGCAAAAAAUAACGGAAUAUUCCAAAACCAAAGUUGAAAAAUAUUUUGGAGAAAUCUUAUUACAGUGGAAAGCUAGAGACUGAGUUGAAGAGUGUAGCGUAAUGUAUUAUUGAAGAAUACACGGAGAAUGAGAACCUGACCCAGAUUAACCCACGUCCAGCCUCUACUUGUCCUUUCCAGUUAACUGUUGCCACUCACUACUUACCUGGUCUUGGGAGAGUCACAGUCAGACAACUCACUUUUAUAAUAAGUGAGGUAUCUCGUUACAUAAAAAGUCAGAUAACUCACUUUUGUCAUAAGAUUUGUAAGAUCCAUUCUAUUCCUAGAAAUCUGGAUUCUGUAUACAAGUAUGACCAGAAAGUGAAGAGUCUAUUUUUACAAACCUACUAGGAAUUUUAUAUGAUAAUAAAUAUGAUCAGAGUAGUCACCAUAAUAAGCUGUUCACUUAUUCCAAAGGUGAUACCAGUGCUCCAAACAUUUUCGGCACUUCUAUUUGGUAUUUUAAGAAAUACUAACAAAUGGUUUUACCCCAGCCAGUAAGAGGCAGAGCUAGAACCUGAGCCAUGCACUGUGGCAGCACCAUCUGUGAUCUUAACAUCUGUGCGGAACAUCUAUGGCUUUGCCCCUUUCACCCUGUGAAGACACAGCAAAAACACAGCCAUUUGUAAGCUGGUAAGCUGGCCUCCACCAGACGCUGAAUCUGCUGAUGUCUUGAGCCCGGAUUUCCCAGCCUCCAAAACCGUGAGAAAUAAAUUUCUGUUAUUUAUAAGCCACUAGUCUAUGGUUAUUUUUGUUGUAGCAACAUAAACAGACUGAGACACCACCUCAGGCAGCUACAGUGUUAAACAAUUACCACUGAAAGUUUUUGACAAGUGCCUGAGGAAAAAGGCUGUUUGCACCAAGUUCUGCAUGAGUCAAACAAAGACCAGUUCUGUGAAUGGAAGUUUUCAGGGAGCUGCCAGAGAGAUAAAAAAUAAAAAAAAAUUCUGGAAACUGUGCUUUCCUGGGAUGCUCCAACACCAUUUCGCUCCCUCCAGUGACUGCUGGGCUGCUUUUUCCACACCUACCACGGCUGGGAGACUAUAUGUUUUCAAGGCUACUGUGGAGCUGGGCAGAAGAUGAAAAUAGGGUAAGAUAAAAUAUUCACCCUCUUGUUAUCAAGACUUAUGUAUUUUUAUUUUUAAUUUUUUUACUUAUUUAUUUUGAGACAGGGUCUCGCUCUGUCACUGAGGCUGGAGUGCAGUGGCGCGAUCACGGCUCACUACAGCCUUGACCUCCCGGGCUCAGGCGAUUCUCCCACCUCAGCCUCCUGGGUAGCCAAGACUACAGGCAUGCAUCACCACAUCCAGCUAAUUUUUGUUUUUUGUUUUUUUUGAGAUGGAGUUUCGCACCCAGGCUGGAGUGCAAUGCCUCGGAUCACUGCAAUCUCCGCCUCCUGGGUUCAGGCAAUUCUCCUGCCUCAGCAUCCUGAGUAGCUGGGAUUACAGGCACGCACCACGAUGCCCAGCUAAGUUUUUGUAUUUUUAGUAGAGACGGGGUUUCACCAUGUUGACCAGGAUGGUCUCCAUCUCUUGACCUUGUGAUCAACCCGCCUCGGCCUCCCAAAGUGCUGGAUUACAGGCUUGAGCCACCGCGCCCGGCCAAUUUUUGUUAUUUUUUUUUAUAGAGAUGGGGUUUUACCAUGUUGCCCAGACUAGUCUCAAACUCCUUAGCUCAAGCAAUCCACCCGCCUUGGCCUCCCAAAGUGCUGAGAUUACAGGCACUAGCCACUGUACCUGGCCACUGUUUUUAUUCAAUAAAACACUCCUCAAACUGGGGUAAGCGUUUGAUUAAUUUCCAGAGUUCUGAAGAGGUUUACUUUGACAAUUCAGUGGCGUGAUCUCAGCUCACGACCACCUCCAUCUCCCAGGUUCAAGCCAUUAUCCUGCCUCAGCCUCCUGAGUUCCUGGGAUUACAGGUGCCCACCACCACACCCGACUAAUUUUUGUAUUUUUAGUAGAGUCAGGGUUUCACCAUGUUGGCCAAGCCGGUCCUGAAUUCCUGACCUCAGGUGAUCUGCCCGCCUCGGCCUCCCAAAGUGUGGGGAUUACAGGCGUGAGCCACUGUGCCUGGCCACAGUAUGUUUUUAAACUGGGCAAUUUAGACUCUUUGAUUCUUCUUGACCAAGAAAGACAGAUCAUGGUUUGGAACUACUGUCCAAACCUAUUAUUAUUAUUAUUAUUAUUGAGAUAGAGUUUCACUCCAUCACCCAGGCUGGAGUGCAGUGGCAUAGUCUUGGCUCACUGCAACCUCCACCUUCCAGGCUCAAAAAAUUCUUAUGCCUCAGCCUCCCAAGUAGCUGGGACUACAGGUGUGAGCCACCACACCCAAUUACUUUUUGUAUUUUUAGUAGAGAUAGGGUCUCACCAUUUGGCAAGGCUGGUCUCGAACUCCUGACCUCAAGUGAUCUGCCAGCUUCACACUCCUUUUAAACCCACGGCACAUUUUACACUAUCACAUACAGCUUCUCCAAAUAGAAUCCUUUUCGGUUGAGCCCCACCCUUGCUUUUGACAUGUGCAAAUGGAUAAUACUAAACAGCUCAUUGAUUUCCAUGUGAGAAGAAAAAUCAGUCCUUUCUUCCUACUUUUAAGCAGCUAUUUAUAGUUAAACAUGAAUUUCUCACAUAGUUCUUCUGAAAUCUUCAUGUUCUACCCCUUUCAUCCUGAGCUGAGCUUUUGCUGAGCUAAAAUAUAAAAGAACACAAGUAUAAUCACCUAAUAUUAGUAAAAGUGUAGCAGAGAAAUCAGGAUACAUCAUAGACACAAAUCACUUCAGAAAAGUUCUUCUCUGCCUUAAACCAGUAAGACAUAAAGUAAGGUCAUGCAAUCUAUCUUUUUAAACACAUCUUGUCUGUGGAUGAAUAUGAUUAGAAGAUAAUGCAAACUUUAACCAAUGUAUUUUGGCAUUUAGAAAGGAGUAUUUUUACACAUGUAAGAUGGUUCCAGGAAAACGAAGAGGUAGAUUCAAGUUUCUAACAUUUCAAAAAUUCUUCAAACCUGUGAUACGUUACUAGUCAGAAGUAUUUUAUUCUUCCCAAACUUACCUUGGGAAUUUAGCUGAGAUGACGGCAUCUCAAUGUCAAUAGGUUAAAAAAAAAUACAUAGACUGUAGAUAU
Molecule: non-coding RNA, 24730 nt
Organism: Callithrix jacchus (white-tufted-ear marmoset)
Lineage: Eukaryota; Metazoa; Chordata; Mammalia; Primates; Cebidae
Source: RefSeq, a predicted model, not a curated record